GGGAUUGUCUCCGCUCGUCCGUGGUACGGAUUGCCCCGUAUCCCCUGCGUUGAGAAGUACGACGUUCUGGUCCGGAUUUUUACAAAAAUGGAAUGACUAUAUCUUAUAUCUGGUUUUACGACUGUCAAGCUGUGCAGGACAGAUCUGUCAAGGCUGUAGCUGAAUAGCACAAACACGAUAGAGAGAACAUACAUACGAGAAGACAUUUUUUUAUACUUCGCAUUGCAAGGCGGUAGUGUUGCUGUUUGGGGUUUUGGUUGUGGUAGCUUUAGCAUUUACAGUGUGGCAGUUAUUGCUGGUGAUGAUGGGUGUGGAGUACUGUAGUGUACCUGGUAAAUGGGAUUUGCUGCAGGGCGUUGUGUACGGCCUUGGGGAUUAGAGGAAUUACACGGCAGUGAGCAGUGGCGACGGCGCUGUCGGCCGGAGGACGCAAUGCGGUCGGCAUGUGCGGGAGGAACGACCCGUGGGUCAUCCCCUCUCUAAAAUCUCUAUGAUCCCGGUAUGU
This 505-nucleotide long non-coding RNA is filed under the name Volvox carteri. RNAcentral describes it as "long non-coding RNA (VCAR_LNC004334)". Lineage: Eukaryota; Viridiplantae; Chlorophyta; Chlorophyceae; Chlamydomonadales; Volvocaceae. The record is from RNAcentral.